GGAGCUUUACUCAAGUGGUUAAGAGGACACCCUGCUAAGGUGUUAGGUCGUUUCCGCGACGCGUCGGUUCGAUCCCGACAGGCUCCGCCA
RNAcentral lists this transfer RNA (90 nucleotides) under Mycoplasmataceae bacterium. RNAcentral describes it as "tRNA-Ser". It matches the Rfam family "tRNA". From Rfam's summary of the family: Transfer RNA (tRNA) molecules are approximately 80 nucleotides in length. Their secondary structure includes four short double-helical elements and three loops (D, anti-codon, and T loops). Lineage: Bacteria; Bacillati; Mycoplasmatota; Mollicutes; Mycoplasmatales; Mycoplasmataceae. The record is from RNAcentral.